GAGGACCUCUGCUUCCGGCGCCGUAACUGCUGCCAUCUUCUCCGCGCUAUGGCUGCGUUCAGCCGUCAGGGAAAUUAAAGAGGGUGCUUUACUGUUGCCCUGAAAUUUUCACCAUGCGCCAGCAGGACAUUAAUGACACUGUCAGGCUUCUCAAGGAGAAGUGCCUUUUCACGGUACAGCAAGUCACCAGGAUUUUGCACAGUUGCCCCUCUGUUCUUCGAGAGGACCUGGGUCAACUGGAAUACAAGUUUCAGGUGAGAAUGACUGAUAGCGUGAUUAGCGUAGUUUCAGGUGAGAAUGACUGGUAAUGGGAUUAGCGUAGUUUCAGGUGAGAAUGACUGGUACCGUGAUUAGUGUAGUAACAGCAAGUUUCUCAGGUUUUUCAAAUGUAGUGAAGGUCAGUUAUAUGGAUAAGAAGCCUCGGACACCUCAUAUUUGAGUGGAGGAAGUGAAAGACUAGAUUCUCUGCAUACAUCAGCCAAAGAGAAAUCUUUAAUUUCUUUACUACAGAUCAAACCUAUUCUUCAACUUUUCUGCGAUUAAUAAUGAAUGAUUCAGUCCUAUUCUUAGA
Molecule: small RNA, 571 nt
Filed under: Pan troglodytes (chimpanzee)
Lineage: Eukaryota; Metazoa; Chordata; Mammalia; Primates; Hominidae
Description: retained intron
Source: RNAcentral